Vicia faba (fava bean) is the source of this 258-nucleotide non-coding RNA. NCBI's taxonomy places the organism in Eukaryota, Viridiplantae, Streptophyta, Magnoliopsida, Fabales, Fabaceae. The record is from the annotation of a GenBank genome assembly.
AUGAGACGAAUGAAGAUGAAAGAGGAGAAUGAAUCGGGAUUUCUCUAUGCGUUUUCGGUUCACAUUUCAAACCGUAGAUUUCUUGCUUACAGAAACAACAACAACACAGCAACAACAACGAAUAUUUUUGUCACAAUUGUGGAAUUCAACAAUAACAACUCUAAAGAACAAAAAUCAACACAAAGCAAGAUUCAAAUACAGGGAAAGCGAAUUUACCGAGUCGGAGCUCCUUCGACGGGCCUUCAAAUUCUCAGGUGA